This 253-nucleotide ribosomal RNA is filed under the name uncultured bacterium. RNAcentral's name for it is "partial 16S ribosomal RNA". It matches the Rfam family "Archaeal small subunit ribosomal RNA", at positions 474 to 727 of the family's 1478-position model. The record is from RNAcentral.
UACCCGCAGCUCAAGUGGUGGUCAUUAUUAUUGGGCCUAAAGCGUCCGUAGCUGGCUUGUUAGAUGCCUGGGUAAAUCGAUGCGCUUAACGCAUCGAAUUCCGGGUAGACCGGCAAGCUCGAGACCGGGAGAGGCGUGAGCUACUCAAGGGGUAGGGGUAAAAUCCUGUAAUCCUUUGGGGAGGACCAGUGGCGAAGGCGUCACGCUAGAACGGCUCUGACAGUGAGGGACGAAGCCCCGGGGCGCAAACCGG